AUCCUUUUGCAGUUCAUAAGCGGGAUAACUGGGUGUCCACACUCGUGUGAGAUGUGCCCCAUCAUACCUUGUUACAACAUCGGCACAUUGCCUUUCUCACA
This is a small nucleolar RNA of Pteronotus mesoamericanus, 101 nucleotides long. RefSeq annotates it as small nucleolar RNA U13. The record is from RefSeq and is a predicted model, not a curated record. The transcript has a single exon. Lineage: Eukaryota; Metazoa; Chordata; Mammalia; Chiroptera; Mormoopidae.